CCGUGGUAAUUCUAGAGCUAAUACAUGCUGAAAACCCCGACUUCGGAAGGGGUGUAUUUAUUAGAUAAAAAGCCAAUGCCCUCCGGGGCUCCCUGGUGAUUCAUAAUAACUCAACGAAUCGCAUGGCCUUGCGCCGGCGAUGGUUCAUUCAAAUUUCUGCCCUAUCAACUUUCGAUGGUAAGAUAGUGGCCUACCAUGGUAUCAACGGGUAACGGGGAAUUAGGGUUCUAUUCCGGAGAGGGAGCCUGAGAAACGGCUACCACAUCCAAGGAAGGCAGCAGGCGCGCAAAUUACCCAAUCCCGACGCGGGGAGGUAGUGACAAUAAAUACUGAUACAGGGCUCUUACGGGUCUUGUAAUUGGAAUGAGUACAAUUUAAAUCCCUUAACGAGGAACAAUUGGAGGGCAAGUCUGGUGCCAGCAGCCGCGGUAAUUCCAGCUCCAAUAGCGUAUAUUAAAGUUGUUGCAGUUAAAAAGCUCGUAGUUGAACCUUGGGCCUGGCUGGCCGGUCCGCCUCACCGCGUGCACUGGUCCGGCCGGGCCUUUCCUUCCGGGGAUCCGCAUGCCCUUCGCUGGGCGUGUCGGGGAGCCGGGACUUUUACUUUGAAAAAAUUAGAGUGUUCAAAGCAGGCCUUUGCUCGAAUACAUUAGCAUGGAAUAAUGGAAUAGGACGUGCGGUUCUAUUUCGUUGGUUUCUAGGACCGCCGUAAUGAUUAAUAGGGAUAGUCGGGGGCGUCAGUAUUCAAUUGUCAGAGGUGAAAUUCUUGGAUUUAUUGAAGACUAACUACUGCGAAAGCAUUCGCCAAGGAUGUUUUCAUUAAUCAGUGAACGAAAGUUAGGGGAUCGAAGACGAUCAGAUACCGUCGUAGUCUUAACCAUAAACUAUGCCGACUA
Molecule: ribosomal RNA, 893 nt
Filed under: Abrothallus acetabuli
Lineage: Eukaryota; Fungi; Ascomycota; Dothideomycetes; Abrothallales; Abrothallaceae
Description: SSU rRNA
Rfam family: Eukaryotic small subunit ribosomal RNA
Source: RNAcentral